Molecule: unclassified non-coding RNA, 183 nt
Filed under: uncultured Herpotrichiellaceae
Lineage: Eukaryota; Fungi; Ascomycota; Eurotiomycetes; Chaetothyriales; Herpotrichiellaceae
Description: sequence contains ITS1
Source: RNAcentral
CCGAGUUAGGGUCUCUCAGGCCCGACCUCCAACCCUUUGUUUACCAAACCACGUUGCUUCGGCGAGCCCGCUCCUCCGGGGGCCGCCGGGGGGUGUCGAAACCCUCUGGCCCGUGUUCGUCGAUAGCCCAACUUAAACUCUUGUGAAAAUCAUGUCGUCUGAAGUAUAAACAAAAUUAAAGCA